UUUCCUUCUUGCUCCACCUAUUUUUGCUGUUGAACAAAAUCAGAGUAUGAUCAGAUAAAACUCCUGCUAGAGUUUCCCCACAUCUGUAUUGUCUUAUCUUUGGCACUGAUGGAGUACAAAGCACAGAUUAUGGCAUUGCAAGCUUCCUGCACAUAUUACUCCAUCGGUAUGUCUCAACCUUGAGCUGGAAAGACCAUCUCUAGAGGUCAUUCCUCCACGACCUAUGCCCUGCAGUGGAGUGGAGUUCCCUCGAGGAUGAAUUUGGCCUAUUGUUUGUCAAUAAGCAUCGAAUAUGAUAACCACUAUCUAAGGAGAAAAUGUAACUUCACCAACAAAAGAAAAGGAAAGAAG
Long non-coding RNA from Trachemys scripta elegans, 351 nucleotides. RefSeq lists it as uncharacterized. NCBI's taxonomy places the organism in Eukaryota, Metazoa, Chordata, Testudines, Emydidae. The transcript is spliced from 3 exons. The record is from RefSeq and is a predicted model, not a curated record.